AAGCAUGCACCCUCGUCCCUCCCACCCGCGCGAUUAAAUAUAGUUCGGAGGGAACUUACAAAGUUGCUACACAAAGAGGCGCGAAACCAAUCCCUCGAAAAAAGCUCUCCAUAUUUAGAAACUUCUCGGUUCUCGCCAUGGCCGUUUCUUCUUUCCGUUCUUCUUCUUCUCUCUCUGUCUCUGUUUCUUCGUCUCUCUGCAUUUUUCAUCGCCAAAUGCAUGGAGCUUCGUCGAUGUCUCUUUCGGAUUCUGAUGAUUCAAGCCGAAUCAAUCACUGAAAAAUCAUCUGUCCCUCAGCUGUUUCUUCAUCUUUGGCUCCUUUAUCUCCUUUAUGUUGUCAACUAAAGGGACUUUAAAUUGAGUCCUCACUUUGGCAUAGCUUUCCACACUCGCAUCAUGGAUUUGUGAAUUCUCAACUGUUUGAAGCUUCAUAUCUUGUAAAGUAGCUGACUCCGCAAAUAGCUUCCUGGAUUUAAUGUCAAGUGCGUACUGUAUUCGCUCAGGCAUGUUAUGAUCCUAUUUGGCGGUGCUGCACACUGUUUCAUUUUUGAGUUACGGAUGAUCAGAACCCUUGGUACAUCAUGGGAAGGCUUAUCAAUUUUCAAGGUGAUCAUCUUCUCACUAUGGGUGGUAUGAAAUCAUUUGUCUGUUUCUAAAUAUUGAAACAUACCUUGUUAGCAUGGAGAUGAGACGACGUUACAGGCAGAUACCUCUUUACCGAUAGUCUUUUCGCUUCUCUGAAGUCCUUAAUCCAACUACAAAUUCCUAGUAGGAGAUCCUUUUUAUUAAGGUACACAGAUAAAAUGAAAAGCCUAAGUUGUAAGAUCCUCCCAAUUAUAUCCGAAAGGUCAUAAAUCUCUUGGAAAAUCCUUUCAUUUCCUCUUCCAUAUCUCCCACAAGAUUGCUCUAACUACAUUCUUCCUUGGUGAGAUGAUCAUAAAGAGUUCAUAUAAAGAAAUACUCCUUAGUUUGGAAGUAAGUAGUCGAGAGGCUCACUUCUCUUGCAAAAAUAAACUUUAACAGUACUAGCUAACUUUUACUAUGCCCUUGGAAAAGAUAUGUUGUCUGUAUAGGUGGGUUUAGUAGGGUUGAAUAACCAAUCAAUACACAGAAAUACCUAUUGGCUCGUUAGACACAGCCACAACACCUAAUUGCUCCCUGAAAAAUAACUAGCCAGACCAUAAGGUUUUUUGGGAUGAAAUUUUCGAACCCUCGUCUUUUAAUCUCUUAAAACUUUUGUGCGUUCUCUUUUGAAUCCUUGUAGUUCUCAUUCCUUCCCAACCUUUUUUACCUUUCCCUUUUACUUGGCUCCUCCAACAUUGGUUUUAUUGUGUUUAGUGUUCGGGAAGCUAGGGUUUCAACCAAGGCCAACUUUAGUAUAGCUCUUAAGGUUAGAGAUUAGUAUUUUCCUACCCACAAGCUGAACUUCAGGGAAAAAAAGCCCCUUAUAAACCAUUUCCGACAACAAUUAUCAACUAAAUCUCAGGUUUUCCACGAUGAGUUGGUCAAUAGAGGUAUGGUAAGAUUUAUACUUUUCCAAUUUUUGGGGCACUUAAACUUUUGAUAUUUU
Long non-coding RNA from Cucurbita maxima (winter squash), 1570 nucleotides. RefSeq lists it as uncharacterized. The transcript has 5 exons. NCBI's taxonomy places the organism in Eukaryota, Viridiplantae, Streptophyta, Magnoliopsida, Cucurbitales, Cucurbitaceae. The record is from RefSeq and is a predicted model, not a curated record.